CUCCUGGGACCGGUUCCGUGCUGGGUCCACUGGUCGGAGGCAGCCACAUGCUCUCGUUCUCGUCGCCUUCAAUCUCCAUCCGUGAGCGGUGAAAACCUAGAUCGCGUGGGCAGCCCAAUUCAUUCCCCAAUCCUCCCCGCCCCUAUCUCCUCCCCAAUGGCGAUCUCCUUCUCCCCCGCGCGGCGACACCGGACGCUCGGGACGGAGCGGCGCGGCGACCAGACCGGCGCAGUGCCGGGAGGCGCGACGACGGCGGUUCUGGGCAGGAGCCGCCUCCUGAAUCUCUCCGUCAUGGCGCGAGCGAGCUCCAGAUCGAGCGGGGGCGGCUGUGAGCGGCCGCAGCGUGCUCCGGCUCAGGGAAGGGGAGGCCAGGCCAGGGCGGAUUGGGGUGGGGGCCGCAUCUCGCGUCGCACGCAGCCGAGCGGCGAGCAGGCGGAGCCGUAGGGGACGGCCACGACGGCGUGCGAGAGGAGGCGCCGCAGGAGCGCGGCCGGGCCGUCGGGGUCGGGGCCACGAUUCGGCGACCAGGCCAGGGCGCCGUAGCAGCAGCUGGCGGCGGCGGCCAGGCCAGGGCGGAUUGGGGUGGGGGCCGCAUCUCGCGUCGCAGGGAUGAAAGUGGAUUAUAUGCACUUGCAGAAAGCGACGAGGGAAAGUGAAUCCAAUUUUUUAAUAUUUGAGAGCCUCACACCUGCGGAUUUAUGCACUUGCCUUGAAGUGCAACGGUCAAAUUUUGGUCCACCUAUCACUAAAGGAGUAAAAGAGCAGUGUCGACCUAAGGUUACUGCGGAUAGGACUGCGGAAGCUGGCCUGCACUGGAUAUCCAGAUUUUGUUGGCGGUUGCUAGCGGGGAAGAGGGGUGUCAUUUGGAGGAUGAGGAUAAGGAAGGCGGCUAUCGCUGGAAAAACAUGUGGGGCUUUCGUAGAAACUACGGAGAAUUUGGGAUUUGUCUACAUUGCUUCGAGACAUUAUGCACAUAAUAUCAAGUGCAUAAUUAAUGGAAACGGAAGACAUUGGAAGAUGUUGUUUUAGUUGCAGAGGGUGGAGUAUCUGUAAAUAUAGACAGUGAAUGUGAUUUUGAAAAUAUUACUACUGAUGCUGAGUUGCAGGAAAGAAAGUGACUGUUUUGCUCACAAAAUAUUACCACAGUAUGGUGGAGCCUUGCAGGGUGAGGGAGUAGACAAUGGUGAAGAUCAGAGGGCUUGAGCUCACGGUGGUCGCCCAGAUUUCAACAGCUUCGACAGGUAGAGAAGAUUCGCCUUAUAUGUCGAUUGAUUCGUUAAGGAUUCCCAUGCCUUCGGUCAGCUUUGCAAUAUGGAGGUCACUGCUUUGCAAUAUGGUAUGUGCCUGACAGGGGCAGGUAAGAAAACAACCUCAUUUUUGCCUCAGGUCUAACUAGAGAUUAUGUCAUCCAGUUUUAGUGGGCAGUUAAAAGAGCAGCCCUAUUUUCGUUAAAGUUUUCCUGCCCUUCAAUAUAUUUUUGGUUGCAUUUCCAGUCUCUCUUUUUUGCUCUGAUUUGAGGCCUUCAAUCCCCUUUUGGUUGGUUAAUAGUUGUCGCUACUCUUUUCCUUCGUUCAACUUGUUGUUCCGAUUGAAAUUAGGAAAAUUUUAUAGCUAGCAGAAUAAUUAUUUUCAAUAUGGUGCAUUUCUAAGAAAGAAAGAAGAGACGCAUUUUAAGAUGUGGUGAUAACUCUUGUGGAAUGUGUACUUGAUUUGAUGAUAUAGCCUAGGUUGCUUAGCUAGAAAGAAUACCAUCUAAAAAGUGUUUCAUGUUUCAGAUAAGUUGCCUUGUUGGAAGCCAUUAAGCAUCUUUGGUACUGCUUAAGGGCAGCUGCAUAAGUUCUACAUAAGGUGACACCUCGUCUGGGUGGAAGCCCAAUUUGUAUAACAUUCAUGAAGCCAGAUAGUAUAUUUUUUGGUGGUGUUUUGAACUUCUGAUGGAUAUGGUGGGUUACUGCAGCAUUGAGUCAGAUGUGGAAGGAGGGGAGAGAAGGGGCCCGUGCUCUUUAUAGUUGGGAGGAGAGGAUGCGGGAGAAGGAGAGAAAUGGUGGGAGCGGCCUUCCCGACCCAGAGCGACGCCGGCGGCCAGCACCCCGAGGCAGCUAGGGGCCAUCUCGCUUUGUUGCGAGAGGCAGCAACUUCCAGUCCUCUCCAUGGGAUUUGCCCCGGCGGCGAGCAUGGAUAGUCGACGACAGUGGCCUGCAUGCUGAUGUGGGAUUUUUGUAGUUGGCUGUGCUGGCUCUGAGCUCUCUCGCAGGUCAAGGUCUUUGCCGUCAUACUCAGAUCUAGGGCGGCAACUUCAGCUAGGAGUCUCGAGCUGAUGGCAGCAUGUCGACGGAGCUCAACUUACAGUGCAGGUUUGACCACAAUGGACGAGGUCAAGCAGCUAUCGCAGUCGAUGCGGAGCAAAACCAUGAAGGAUAUGGGGCUAUUCAGGUCUGGAGUAAUUUGAUUUGCUGUGUUGGGGAAAGAGAGUGCUAUGCACAUAGAUGCAGGUAUGAGAGAAGAGACCAGUCUUCCAGCGGUUGGAGAGUGAAUAAGUUAUUCAUGAUAGUGAAUCGAGCUGCCUAUCUGCAGCAGGCUGCCUAAGAGGCUGCGAAUAUGGAUCAAAAGGAGCUCCUUGACAUAGAAUGGGGCACCACUCGUGCCUAGAAUGAGUGAUAUCUUUAUGUAUGUAACUAAGGUGCUAGCUUUUGAUUCUAUCUUCUUGUCUGUAUGAUGAAUACUGCUACUGUUGACUUCCUGAUCACCUAUUUCACUUACUGAUUAGCCUCUGCUAUAUAUGAGUUAUUUUUCUAUAUGUGCCUUUGUGUUUUAUUGUUUGCUGAUUAUCAACAUGUAUUCACUUACUGAUUCUACCAUGAUUUUCUAUAAGCUCAUCGUAUGUGAAUAUUUUAUUGCUUUGGAUCUCAUGAUGAACUUU
Molecule: non-coding RNA, 2920 nt
Organism: Lolium perenne
Lineage: Eukaryota; Viridiplantae; Streptophyta; Magnoliopsida; Poales; Poaceae
Source: RefSeq, a predicted model, not a curated record